GAUAGGUAUACUUUAGGAGGGGCUUGCGCCAUAUUAGUUAGUUGGUAGGGUAAUGGCCUACCAAGACGAUGAUGUGUAGCUGGACUGAGAGGUUGAACAGCCACAUUGGGACUGAGACACGGCCCAAACUCCUACGGGAGGCAGCAGUAGGGAAUUUUCGGCAAUGGAGGAAACUCUGACCGAGCAACGCCGCGUGAACGACGAAGUACUUUGGUAUGUAAAGUUCUUUUAUCAAGGAAGAAAAGCAAGUGGUGAACCAUUUGUUUGCCGGUACUUGAUGAAUAAGCCCCGGCUAAUUAUGUGCCAGCAGCCGCGGUAAGACAUAAGGGGCAAGUGUUAUCCGGAAUUAUUGGGCGUAAAGGGUGCGUAGGCGGUCUAGUAAGUCAGUGGUGUAAUGGCAACGCUCAACGUUGUCCGGCUAUUGAAACUGCUAAACUUGAGUUAGAUAGAGGCGAGUGGAAUUCCAUGUGUAGCGGUAAAAUGCGUAAAUAUAUGGAGGAACACCAGAGGCGUAGGCGGCUCGCUGGGUCUUAACUGACGCUGAGGCACGAAAGCGUGGGGAGCAAACAGGAUUAGAUACCCUGGUAGUCCACGCCGUAAACGAUGAGUACUAAGUGUCGGGUUAAACCGGUACUGAAGUUAACACAUUAAGUACUCCGCCUGAGUAGUACGUACGCAAGUAUGAAACUUAAAGGAAUUGACGGGACUCCGCACAAGCGGUGGAUCAUGUUGUUUAAUUCGAAGAUACCCGAAAAACCUUACCAGGUCUUGACAUGUUUUUGCGAAACGGUAGUAAUAUCGUGGAGGUUAUCAGAAACACAGGUGGUGCAUGGUUGUCGUCAGCUCGUGUCGUGAGAUGUUAGGUUAAGUCCUAAAACGAGCGAAACCCUUAUCGUUAGUUGCCAGCACGUUAUGGUGGGGACUUUAACGAGACUGCCAGUGAUAAAUUGGAGGAAGGUGAGGAUCACGUCAAAUCAGCAUGCCCCUUAUGACCUGGGCUACAAACGUGAUACAAUGGCUGUUACAAAGGGUAGCUGAAACGCAAGUUCUUGGCCAAUCCCCAAAAACAGUCUCAGUCCGGAUUGAAGUCUGCAACUCGACUUCAUGAAGUUGGAAUCGCUAGUAAUCGCGAAUCAGCAUGUCGCGGUGAAUACGUUCUCGGGGUUUGUACACACCGCCCGUCAAACCACGAAAGUUGGCAAUACCCCAAAACGGUAGCCUAACUCGUUUAUCGAGAGGGCGCUGUCUAAGGUAGGGUCGAUGAUUGGGGUUAAGUCGUAACAAGGUAUCCCUACCGGAAGGUGGGGAUGGAUCACCUCCUUU
This 1323-nucleotide ribosomal RNA is filed under the name Candidatus Phytoplasma citri. RNAcentral describes it as "bacterial SSU rRNA". It matches the Rfam family "Bacterial small subunit ribosomal RNA", at positions 208 to 1533 of the family's 1533-position model. The record is from RNAcentral. Lineage: Bacteria; Bacillati; Mycoplasmatota; Mollicutes; Acholeplasmatales; Acholeplasmataceae.